CCCCCAAUUCGCCAUUCCCGCUUCGUGAUCGCACUAAAACCCUAACCCCAAUCCUCGUUAAUGGAGAGGGACUCUUCUUCCUCCGACGAUGACGAGGAUCGCCGCACCCUCGUCCCCCAGAGCGAGGCGAAGCCCCCUCCCCCUACACCUCCCCCCGCCGCCGCCGCCGCCGCAGUGUUCGAGAUCGCCCGNCCUACACCUCCCCCCGCCGCCGCCGCCGCCGCAGCGUUCGAGAUCGCCCGUGGCGCUGCCGCCUCCGCCGCCCGCAGCUGCGGCGGCGGCGGAGGCGGCGGCUUCUGGUCGAGCAAGCGCUACCUCCUCCUCGCAGUGUGCCUCCCCCUGGUCCU
This 347-nucleotide long non-coding RNA is filed under the name Ananas comosus (pineapple). RNAcentral's name for it is "long non-coding RNA (ACOM_LNC006776)". Lineage: Eukaryota; Viridiplantae; Streptophyta; Magnoliopsida; Poales; Bromeliaceae. The record is from RNAcentral.